This 74-nucleotide transfer RNA is filed under the name Alistipes communis. Its description in RNAcentral is "tRNA-Met". It matches the Rfam family "tRNA". From Rfam's summary of the family: Transfer RNA (tRNA) molecules are approximately 80 nucleotides in length. Their secondary structure includes four short double-helical elements and three loops (D, anti-codon, and T loops). Lineage: Bacteria; Pseudomonadati; Bacteroidota; Bacteroidia; Bacteroidales; Rikenellaceae. The record is from RNAcentral.
CGCGGAAUGGAGCAGAGGCCAGCUCGUCAGACUCAUUAUCUGAAGGUCGGGGGUUCGAAUCCCCCUUCCGCUAC